ACCAAGAUGCGUUUCAUUUUGCAAUCCACAUUUCGACUUCAACUUCUCUCUAACUACAGCUCCUUUCGCUCUUCGUCUACACUACAUUACAAAAAUUGGAAUCAUGGAUUUUCGUUUCUGCUCAGAAUCAAUCAUCCGCCAUUAGAUGGGUUCCAGACUUGAACAGACACAGGUAUUUCUUUACAAUUUCUAUUAGGGUUUUGAACAACACAAAUUCGGGGUUUAUCAGGGUUUUGAACAACAUAAUUUGGGGUUUAUUAGGGUUUAGGUUAUUCCGAAGUAAUCCUUAUAACAAUCAAAGCUGAAGAAGUAGAUAUAAUCAGCAAAUUACCAGAUAACUUGAUUCAUGAAAUCCUCUCUUUUAUUGAUACGAAAUAUGCAGUACAAACUAGUGUUUUGUCCAAAAGAUGGAAAAAUAUUUGGGUCUCUCUCCCUUACAUAUCAGUAGAUUGGACUUCAUUUAAAAAAGACAUAAUAUAUGAUCUAGGUGAAACUUUGCGUAAGUUUCUAACUUUUGUCGACAAGGUAUUCGAGUUCCAUGAUGACUCUGAUAUAUAGAGUAUUAAACUGGGGUGUGUCAUACUGGAUGCCUUUUCUGUAGAAGCUCUUAAUAGAUGGAUCCUUGCGGCUGUGAAUCAUAACAUUAUAGACCUGGAUAUAACUGGUUCUUACUUACAUGACUCGGCAUAUGAGAUUCCUCAUCAAAUCCUUAAUUCUAUAUCAUUGAAGAGUUUGAUUAUUAUAUUGCUUGGGGACCGUUUUGGAGGUACAAAUAUUAUUCUACAGAAGUCAAUGAGUUUACCUCAAUUGAAAACACUGUGGCUUGCAGGAAUUUCUAUCUCUAAUUUAGACUUACAAAGGCUUUUCUCAAGCUGUCCACUUAUGGAAACAUUAUUUAUGCAAAAAUGUGAUGUACAAACAAGCAAUCAAAGGAAUAUCAUUAUUGAUUCUCACAGCCUUUCAAAGGGUUAGACUAUUCGAGAAUCGUUAUACACAUCUUGGUUUGGCAGAUCAUACUUUUACUUGCACUACAAAGAUAUCUGCUCCAAAUCUCAUGGGCUUCAUGUGCACAGGCUUCAUGACUGAAGAUUUUCCCCUAGAAAACCUUUCUUCUCUAGGCUAUGCUCGAUUUGAUAUGAGAUUAACAAAAGAAGCGGAUGAAACUGCACUAACAUAUUUUUAGCUCCCCGCUGAGGAAAAAGAAGUGUUCGCUAGACGUAUGAUGAAAUUUGUAGGAGUGGUUCGUAAUGUGCGACACCUGACACUAUCAUCUGGGUUCCUUGAGGAACUAUGAAGCUGGGAAUGAGGUUUACAAGAGGCUGCAUCCGCUCAAUUGCAUACUUACUCAAGAUCUCUCCUAUUAUAACUACUCUUAUCCUUGUAUCAGAGGAGGCGAACUUAGCAGACGUUGAAGAUGAUUGGGAUGCGGGAUUCUCAUUGACGUGCAUGUAUUCUCACCUCAAGGUUAUCGAGAUUGGAGGGGUGGAAGGAUGUGAUAAUGAACUCAAAUUUGUGAGGUUUAUGUUGAAAAACUCGAUGGUUUUGGAGAAAGUGAAUCUGUUCUUUCGGUCUACUAGUGACUCACUUGAUGGAGGAAGACAAAUAAGGAGAUUUAAGAGGAACCUAAGAGCAAUGCCAACAGCUUCUUCUAGUAUCAAAAUGAAUUUCCUUUAACCUUUGAAGAUGCUGCUAUGAGCUUAGCUGAAUGAGACAUCAAGCUUUUAAGAGUAAGGUAAGACCACUUCCAAUAGCUUAACAAUUUAGGUACAUAUAAGUUCUUUGUAUUUUUUGAACUAUUUUUGGUGGAUGUUUCAGAAGUCACAAGUAUUCUUUGAGAAUCCAAACCAUAUAACUCUUGUUAAAAAAGACACAAUCAUCCCUCAAAGUGGGACAGUGUUUUACAUCUUAAGCCAGAUAGGAGGUUAAAUUCUUUUGAAGAUAUUUUCGAUCAGGUUAAAUUCUUUUGAAGAUAUUUUCGAUCAAUGGGAUACUAAUAAUCUCGAUGAAUCUCCCUUUGUUCCAAACUGGACAAAAAUUGCAAUUGGUGUUUGCUGGAUCAUAUGGAAAUGAAGAUUUUCUAUAGUUUCUGACAAUGAGAAGUUAGUUCUUGUUAAAGUUAUUAAGGACACCAGAUAUCUUAUAUUUUGUUAUGACAAACCAAGCUCUGGUGUAGUGAUGAACCUUACAAGAUCAGAGGCUAAACAAUGUGACUGUAUCUUUUUCGAAUCAUUUCUUUUUGGAAUUUUGGAUUUCUUAUACAGUAAAGUCUAUUUCUGGAGUGGCUUUAGUUCAGAUCCUAUUGCAGCUGAAGUUAAGUCUAUGACUGGAGCAACUGUUUGGGUUCAAAACCUCCAGCUUACCAAAGUUUUUCUUUGUCAAUGAUUGCAAAGCUCUGGUUGAUUUUGUAAAUGGGACUGCUAGUUCCAUUCAUUGGAGAAGUCUUAGCUUUUCUGAGUUUUCUCGCAGUGUUAAGUGGGACUGCUAGUUAUUCUGUAAAUGGGACUGCUAAUAACCUUGAUGAGUCUCCCUUUGUUCCAAACUGGGCAAAAGUUGCAAUUAGUGUUUGCUGGAUCAUAUGGAAAUGAAAAUGUUCUAUAGUUUCUGAC
Molecule: RNA transcript, 2606 nt
Organism: Papaver somniferum (opium poppy)
Lineage: Eukaryota; Viridiplantae; Streptophyta; Magnoliopsida; Ranunculales; Papaveraceae
Exons: 3
Source: RefSeq, a predicted model, not a curated record